UUUAUUUAUUUUUAUUAAAGUUCGAAGUUUUAUUAAGUUCCAUUAUUUCAAAAUUUUUAAAUAAUAAAUAAAGUUUACAAUUAAAAAAAAUUUUAAUAUAAUCCAUAUUUUUGUUAAAGAUGCUGAUAACUGAUUGGACUUCAAGUUUAAUUAUUUGUGACCGCGCGCAAUGCGGUUAUUAGAAUCAGUGUUUGCUGCGUAAUAGUAUUUUUGAUAUUCUUUAGAGCACAAUAGCUCACGUUAAAUUUAAUUAUAUUAAUUAUAUGCGAAAGUAGAAUCAGUGCUUGUUCGCCGAUUGUAUAACAUGAACGGACGAGUUAAUAGCUUCUUAUUUUUAUUUUUUUUUUUUAUAAAUUUUCGUUUUCGGUACAGGUUAGAGUCAGUGCUUCUCUCAUCAGUAUAAGCGCUCAUCCAUCAUGCGAAGAGAUGCUGAUAACUGAUUGGACUUCAAGUUUAAUUAUUUGUGAUCGCGUGCAAUGCGAUUAUUAGAGUCAGUGUUUGCUACGUAAUAGUAUUUUUUAUAUUCUUUAGAGCACAAUAGCUCACGUUAAAUUUGAUUAUAUUAAUUAUACGCGAAAGUAGAAUCAGUGCUUAUUCGCCGAUUAUGUAAUAUGAACGGACGUGUUAAUAGCUUCUUAUUUUUAUUUUUUUUUUUUAUAAAUUUUCGUUUUCGGUACAGAGUAGAAUCAGUGCUGCAUUAUAAGGCGAUCAUCCACCACGCGAAGAGUCUUAACGUCCUCCUACGAUGACUUUUCCUUGAAUUGAAAGCAGUACCGUUGGCAACAUAUGUACAUCGCAUCAAUUGGUGAGUCGCAUGCAUUUUUGUUCCUCCGGUCACUCAAUCAUGUCGUAGGAUGAAAGGUCCGAAUCGACACGGGUGACUGGUUGUAUACGUAGAAAUUUGCACGGGCACA
Long non-coding RNA from Apis cerana (Asiatic honeybee), 914 nucleotides. RefSeq lists it as uncharacterized. The record is from RefSeq and is a predicted model, not a curated record. Lineage: Eukaryota; Metazoa; Arthropoda; Insecta; Hymenoptera; Apidae.